Pelobates cultripes (western spadefoot toad) is the source of this 427-nucleotide non-coding RNA. The record is from the annotation of a GenBank genome assembly. NCBI's taxonomy places the organism in Eukaryota, Metazoa, Chordata, Amphibia, Anura, Pelobatidae.
AUGGCUGCUUAAAGGGAUCCAGAGGUGGAAAAUAUCAUUUCUUUUACUGCAUUAUAUAGAAGUGGGAUCUCAAAACACUGGCCCACGGACCACUUGUCAUAGGAAAACUGCCGGCACCUCAAUUUCCAGACUGUCUGGUCGACACUGGACAUCUGGCAACUGACAGUCUUUUAAUUGAGCGGCUGGCUGCUUAACCACUGACCAGCACUGCAUAGUUGUGCCCUGAUAUAUGUGAGUAUGUGAGAGUAGGUGAGUGUUUCUUUGUAUGUGUGAGUGUCAGGUGUCAGUCAUGGGGGAAACUGUGAGUGUGUCCAGGAGUACAGACCUGCGUGUGUGUCUAGAAGUAUGUAUCUGUGCAUAUAUAUAUGUAUGUUUGUAUGUGUGUGUGUCUGGUAGUAUGGAUCUGUGUGUGUCUGGUAGUAUUGAU